Molecule: long non-coding RNA, 1246 nt
Organism: Clupea harengus (Atlantic herring)
Lineage: Eukaryota; Metazoa; Chordata; Actinopteri; Clupeiformes; Clupeidae
Gene: cfap69
Exons: 3
Source: RefSeq, a predicted model, not a curated record
ACACACAGUGAGGCAGUGUUAGGGGUAGGGAGUUUCAGGGUGUCUCUCCUCAGAGUGUGGUGGUCUCUUGCUCGUGCUGGAUGCUUUCAGUCUUCCCUCCUCAGGCAGGAGGAAGGCCGGCUGUGGAGUCAAUCUGUGAGAUAUACCGCAACCAUGAUCAUCAGACUAGGAAGACUGACUCCGGGAUACUUCCGUCUCCUGCAGCGGCAAGUCUCUGGUGAACUGCAGAUGCAGCCACAGACUCGCCCUGUCAACCACAUCGCUAUGACGAUGGCCACGCUGGGAUUAGGCAUGUCCUGCUACAGCGCCCGGCAGAUGGCUGAAAGGGUCCACCUGAAGGAGCCUGUGGCCUGAGACAGCGCCCCCCGAAGGCCACUAGAGGACACCUCACCAUGCCUACCAGACCAUAGGGCAUUUCCAGAACUCAGACCUGGUGCCAGAUUCUGUGAAAUAAAUACCCCAAACUGGCGUGGAUGAUUGCCCUACCUGGAAUUUCAUACAGGACCACUUUGUCUAACUCCUACUUUUUCAUUUUUUCAUCUUUUUAUAUCUUCGACUAGCCCAACUGAUGAGAAGGUGGUGUGUCAGUGUUCGUGUUUAAAACAUGUGACCUCAUUUAACAAUGUUUAAUGUUUAGGUAACACACACACCACUAGCACUUAAUGCUGACAUUUAAAAAGUAACAUUGUCACCAUAAACUAAACGAAAAAAAGGAGAAACUUGAUCAUUUACAUGACUAAUGUGAAGGAGUGUACCUGACAAUGAAUAUGAAGCUUGAUGGAUGACUUUCCGUGUUUUUUGUAUGUUUGAGUUGGAAUGUGUAUGUUGGGGAAUAAUGAAGCUGGUGCUAAGAUGUGUGUAAACAGAGAUGAGGUUCUUGAAAAGUGUUUUGAAGGAAAAGUGAAAGUCCUACUCCUGUGAAAGAUGUUUGUUCUGUCUGUUGCUUUAACAUGGAGAUGUCUCUAUGCAUGAGAUCAACUCUCUGAUGAUACUUGACAUAUAAACAUUCUGUCACCAGUUUUCUCACCACAUACAUAACAAUAACAAGCCAUAGUUUAUCACAUUAAAAUAAUAAUAUAAGACUUCUACAAUAGAUCUUCAAUACUUAAGUCCUCACACUGUCAUGAUAAGCAUUCACCACUUACAUAGUCAAAUUCAUAAGGAUAGCACGAGUAGACGGAAUGAAACUUAAUACUGUGCGCCGUACUGUUUUUAAACUGUGAAUAAAGUUUUCUUCAAAAUUGAA